CUUUUAUGGAGAGUUUGAUCCUGGCUCAGAGUGAACGCUGGCGGCGUGCCUAAUACAUGCAAGUCGAACGAUGAAGCUUCUAGCUUGCUAGAAUGCUGAUUAGUGGCGCACGGGUGAGUAACGCAUAGGUCAUGUGCCUUUUAGUUUGGGAUAGCCAUUGGAAACGAUGAUUAAUACCAGAUACUCCCUACGGGGGAAAGAUUUAUCGCUAAGAGAUCAGCCUAUGUCCUAUCAGCUUGUUGGUAAGGUAAUGGCUUACCAAGGCUAUGACGGGUAUCCGGCCUGAGAGGGUGAACGGACACACUGGAACUGAGACACGGUCCAGACUCCUACGGGAGGCAGCAGUAGGGAAUAUUGCUCAAUGGGGGAAACCCUGAAGCAGCAACGCCGCGUGGAGGAUGAAGGUUUUAGGAUUGUAAACUCCUUUUGUUAGAGAAGAUAAUGACGGUAUCUAACGAAUAAGCACCGGCUAACUCCGUGCCAGCAGCCGCGGUAAUACGGAGGGUGCAAGCGUUACUCGGAAUCACUGGGCGUAAAGAGCGCGUAGGCGGGAUAGUCAGUCAGGUGUGAAAUCCUAUGGCUUAACCAUAGAACCGCAUUUGAAACUACUAUUCUAGAGUGUGGGAGAGGUAGGUGGAAUUCUUGGUGUAGGGGUAAAAUCCGUAGAGAUCAAGAGGAAUACUCAUUGCGAAGGCGACCUGCUGGAACAUUACUGACGCUGAUUGCGCGAAAGCGUGGGGAGCAAACAGGAUUAGAUACCCUGGUAGUCCACGCCCUAAACGAUGGAUGCUAGUUGUUGGAGGGCUUAGUCUCUCCAGUAAUGCAGCUAACGCAUUAAGCAUCCCGCCUGGGGAGUACGGUCGCAAGAUUAAAACUCAAAGGAAUAGACGGGGACCCGCACAAGCGGUGGAGCAUGUGGUUUAAUUCGAAGAUACACGAAGAACCUUACCUAGGCUUGACAUUGAGAGAAUCCGCUAGAAAUAGUGGAGUGUCUAGCUUGCUAGACCUUGAAAACAGGUGCUGCACGGCUGUCGUCAGCUCGUGUCGUGAGAUGUUGGGUUAAGUCCCGCAACGAGCGCAACCCCCUUUCUUAGUUGCUAACAGGUCAUGCUGAGAACUCUAAGGAUACUGCCUCCGUAAGGAGGAGGAAGGUGGGGACGACGUCAAGUCAUCAUGGCCCUUACGCCUAGGGCUACACACGUGCUACAAUGGGGUGCACAAAGAGAAGCAAUACUGCGAAGUGGAGCCAAUCUUCAAAACACCUCUCAGUUCGGAUUGUAGGCUGCAACUCGCCUGCAUGAAGCUGGAAUCGCUAGUAAUCGCAAAUCAGCCAUGUUGCGGUGAAUACGUUCCCGGGUCUUGUACUCACCGCCCGUCACACCAUGGGAGUUGUGUUUGCCUUAAGUCAGGAUGCUAAAUUGGCUACUGCCCACGGCACACACAGCGACUGGGGUGAAGUCGUAACAAGGUAACCGUAGGUGAACCUGCGGUUGGAUCACCUCCUUUCU
Molecule: ribosomal RNA, 1508 nt
Filed under: Helicobacter pylori HUP-B14
Lineage: Bacteria; Pseudomonadati; Campylobacterota; Epsilonproteobacteria; Campylobacterales; Helicobacteraceae
Description: 16S ribosomal RNA
Rfam family: Bacterial small subunit ribosomal RNA
Source: RNAcentral